RNAcentral lists this ribosomal RNA (2879 nucleotides) under Sesame phyllody phytoplasma. RNAcentral's name for it is "23S ribosomal RNA". It matches the Rfam family "Bacterial large subunit ribosomal RNA". Lineage: Bacteria; Bacillati; Mycoplasmatota; Mollicutes; Acholeplasmatales; Acholeplasmataceae. The record is from RNAcentral. RNAcentral also lists the same sequence under 2 other names.
AUUAAAGGAAAUAAGAGCGCACAGUGGAUGCCUAGGCACCAAGAGCUGAUGAAGGACGCAAUUAACGGCGAUACGCUACGGGGAGCUGUAAAUAAGUGUAGAUCCGUGGAUUUCCGAAUGGGGCAACCUACUAUAAGAAGUUAUAGUAUCAAUUGUUAGGCAACUAACUGAUUGAAAGGAACGCAGUGAACUGAAAUAUCUAAGUAACUGCAGGAACAGAAAGUAAUAACGAUUCCGGUAGUAGUGACGAGCGAAUCCGGAACAGCCGGAUACCAAUAACUAGUUACCAAAUUUUAAUUAACUCGAAAUAGUUGGAAAGCUAUAUCCCAGAAGGUGAAAAUCCUGUAGAGGUAAGUUAAAAUCUAGGGUAUCCUCAAGUACGGCGAGACACGAGAAAUCUUGUUGGAAGAUAGGAGGACCAUCUCCUAAGGCUAAAUACUCCUUGGUGACCGAUAGUGAACUAGUACCGUGAGGGAAAGGUGAAAAGAACCCCGGAAGGGGAGUGAAAUAGAUCCUGAAACUGUGUGCUUACAAGUAGUCAAAGCUCGUUUAAGAGUGAUGGCGUGCCUUUUGCAGAAUGAACCGGCGAGUUAUGAUAUAGAGCAAGGUUAAGUUUGAAGGAACGUAGCCGUAGCGAAAGCGAGUCUGAAUAGGGCGUUUAGUUGUAUGUCAUAGACCCGAAACUGAAGUGAGCUAGCCAUGAACAGGCUGAAGUGACGUGACCACGUCAUGGAGGGCCGAACCAGGACACGUUGAAAAGUGUUUGGAUGAUUUGUGGCUAGAGGUGAAAUUCCAAUCGAACUCAGAGAUAGCUGGUUCUCCCCGAAAUAGCUUUAGGGCUAGCGUUGGGUAUUUAAUAGUUCUUGAAGGUAGAGCACUAAAUGAGUGCGGGCUCCACCUCGGGGUACCAAUCUCAAUUAAACUCCGAAUGUCAAGAACCGUAUCCCAGCAGUCAGACGAUGGGUGAUAAGGUCCAUGGUCAAAAGGGAAAGAGCCCAGACCGUCAGCUAAGGUCCCUAAAUUAAUGUUAAGUGGUUAAGGAAGUAAAAACGUUAAAACAAUUAGGAAGUUGGCUUAGAAGCAGCCAUCUUUUAAAGAGUGCGUAAUAGCUCACUAAUCUAAUAUUUUUGCACCGAAAAUGUAACGGGGCUAAACAUUAUACCGAAGCUACGGAUAUGUUCCGGCUAGUAAUAGCUAAGGAACAUGUGGUAGGGGAAGCGUUCUAACAUCGUAGAAGCUAUAGCGGAAGCAGUAGUGGAGAGGUUAGAAGUGAGAAUGCCGGUGUAAGUAACGAAAAGAUAGAUGAGAAUUCUAUCCGUCGAAAACCCAAGGUUUCCAGGGGCAGGGUCGUCCGCCCUGGGUUAGUCAGGAACUAAGGCGAGGCAGCAAUGCGUAGUCGAUGACCAGCAGGCUAAAAUUCCUGCACUAAAAAAAUCACUGAUGGAGGGACAAAAGAGGAUAAGCACGCCCUUUAUUGGAUUAGGGUCGAAAAAUCGAGUUUGAGAAGAUAGGCAAAUCCGUCUUCUUACUUGCCAAAAAAUGAGAUUUGAGGGUAACGUGACUGUGUUCAUAUUUUCUAGAAAAGCUUCUAGGGUUAAUGAUUUUUUUACCUGUACCGUAAACCGACACAGGUGGGAAGGUAGAGUAUACUAAGACGCGCGAGAAAACUCUUGUUAAGGAACUCGGCAAAAUGACUCCGUAACUUCGGGAUAAGGAGAGCUUUUAUGAUAAAAAGUAAAAGCCGCAGAGAAUAGGCCCAAGCGACUGUUUAUCAAAAACACAGGUCUCUGCUAAACCGUAAGGUGAUGUAUAGGGGCUGAUGCCUGCCCGGUGCUGGAAGAUUAAGAGGAGAUGUUCGGGCUUGCCCAAAGCAUUGAAUUGAAGUCCCAGUGAACGGCGGCCGUAACUAUAACGGUCCUAAGGUAGCGAAAUUCCUUGUCGGGUAAAUUCCGACCUGCACGAAAGGCAUAACGAUUUGGGCGCUGUCUCAACAAGAGUCUCGGUGAAAUCAAAUUACCGGUGAAAAUGCCGGUUACCCGCGACAGGACGAAAAGACCCCAUGGAGCUUUACUGUAGCUUAAUAUUGGAAUUGGAAAUCUCAUGUACAGGAUAGGUGGGAGACAGAGAACUUUAGACGCUAGUUUAAAGGGAGUCACCGGUGGGAUACCACUCUUGAGAUUUUUAGUUUCUAACCUGCAUAAGUGGAUUAUGAGGGACAGUGUUUGGUGGGCAGUUUGACUGGGGCGGUCGCCUCCUAAAAAGUAACGGAGGCGUUCAAAGGUUCCCUCAAAAUGGUCAGAAAUCAUUUUUAGAGCGUAAAGGUAUAAGGGAGCUUGACUGUGAGACCUACAAGUCGAGCAGGGACGAAAGUCGGACUUAGUGAUCUUGCGGUACCGAAUGGAAGGGCCGUGACUCAACGGAUAAAAGCUACCCUGGGGAUAACAGCCUUAUCGCCCCCGAGCGUUCACAGCGACGGGGCGGUUUGGGACCUCGAUGUCGGCUCAUCGCAUCCUGGAGCUGGAGCAGGUUCCAAGGGUUGGGCUGUUCGCCCAUUAAAGCGGUACGCGAGCUGGGUUCAGAACGUCGUGAGACAGUUCGGUCUCUAUCCGUCGUGGGCGUUGGAAAUUUGCGAGGAACUGUCCCUAGUAUGAGAAGACCGGGAUGGAUAUACCGCUGGUGCACCAGUUGGUUCGCCAGAGCCAUAGCUGGGUAGCUAUGUAUAGUAUGGAUAAACACUGAAAGCAUCUAAGUGUGAAGCCUCCCUCAAGAUGAGAUUUCCCUAAGAGAUCCCUGAAAGACGAUCAGGUUGAUAGGCUAGAAGUGGAAGAGUAGUGAUAUUUGGAGCUGACUAGUACUAAUAGAUCCAACGACUUUGAUGA